This 253-nucleotide ribosomal RNA is filed under the name uncultured bacterium. Its description in RNAcentral is "partial 16S ribosomal RNA". It matches the Rfam family "Bacterial small subunit ribosomal RNA", at positions 524 to 776 of the family's 1533-position model. The record is from RNAcentral.
UACGGAGGUGGCAAGCGUUGCUCGGAAUCACUGGGCGUAAAGGGCGCGUAGGCGGUCGGGCAAGUCCUGUGUGAAAUCCCUCGGCUCAACUGAGGAACUGCACGGGAAACUGCCUGACUUGAGUUCGGGAGAGGGAAGCGGAAUUCCGGGUGUAGCGGUGAAAUGCGUAGAUAUCCGGAGGAACACCGGUGGCGAAGGCGGCUUCCUGGACCGACACUGACGCUGAGGCGCGAAAGCGUGGGGAGCGAACAGG